ACAUUUUGGAUCCAAGGACCAAUAGGUUGACUCAUUCACUAGUGGAGAGUAUCAAAGAAAGAAAAAUUUAAAAACUAAACAACAGAUUUGACAAGCUGCCUGCCAUCUGAAAGUGAGAAAGAAUGUGAUAUUAAUUGAGCAUCUUCUGAGCAAGCUAUAUGCUGUACAUAUGCUUUUCUUCAAAACAUCCCUUCAAGAAAAUGAUACAUCUAUUUCAGAAUGUGACAGAAAAACACCAAUAGGCAGGAAAGAGGGGGCGGAAGGAAUUCACCGUACUCUCCAGUACCCCAGUUGCUGGCUGGUUAAUGAAGCAUUCUUCUCAUCAAGCUGCCUCAGUUAUUUACCAAGAGAAUGACAACCCAUUCCCCACCCCCAGCUCGAACACCCACUGUGAUCAGCUCCCUCACUUCAUGACAAUGAGGCGAUAUGUGUGGGACUGGUUUUCGCAUAACUACAAAGCUUCAAAAAAAAAGUGAGAAUAAAUAUUUACUUCCAGUGUAUUUCAAGCAACACAGAAGGAAAAUCUUCAAUAUUAAACUGACUUAUUUCCAACGAUAUCUUGCAUUUUACUGUGGGUAAAAUGAAUACUUUGAAUAAGAUUUUCCAAUUUUAGACAAAAAGAGGGCAAUUUUUUGAUGAUAGGUUUCAUCUGCUGUGACAAAUGUUAGUGUGAUCCACUUGCUUGAGGGCUCGUAUAAUCAUUUCAUAGCGUGUGUGUGUGUGUGUGUGUGUGUGUGUGUGUGUAUGUGUGUGUAUACACCUCACAUAGGCAGGACAGAAGAAAUGAGUGUAGAAUCAAGCUCAUACUGGAUGUCUGAUGUGUACAAUGCAUGUGCAUAUGCAUUUGAGUUUGGAAAAAAUUCCCAAGCUAUACAUGGAAUUUUUUUUUUAAGUUAGUCACUUUUUGGUCCCACAGCUUUUAUUUUGGAGCUUUUCUGGUAAAAAGGACAUCUCUAUCCAAUAUCACCUGGACGAGAGUGCUGUUCAAACACAGGUGCUAUUACUUCAGCCCAUUUCUAGCUCAUGAUCUAAGAAAUAUGCUCUGCUGAGUAGAGUUCCAUAAAAGCAGGGCCUGUGACUCAGUCAUCUCUGUCCCUCAUGAUACUCAGGACAGCAAACAAAUGCUUUCCAAACAAUUUCAGAGUGAAUUCUAGGAGGGCUAUUUCAAGGUCAACUCUAUAAUUUAUCUCCUUGUUGGCUUUCUUCCCUCAUCUCACAACUUCCAAAAAUCCGGCCAAGGGGCAUUCAUAUUCACAUGCUGGAAAUGAUUUAAUUCUAUCUUCUAUAUGGAUAUCACUAACUUGGCAUGAAAA
RNAcentral lists this long non-coding RNA (1313 nucleotides) under Homo sapiens (human). RNAcentral describes it as "HSALNT0172544". The record is from RNAcentral. Lineage: Eukaryota; Metazoa; Chordata; Mammalia; Primates; Hominidae.